GAGGGUACAGCUCAGUGGCAGAGUACAUGCUUACCAUGUACAGGGUCCUGGGAUCAAUCCCCAGUACCUCCA
Molecule: transfer RNA, 72 nt
Filed under: Camelus bactrianus (Bactrian camel)
Lineage: Eukaryota; Metazoa; Chordata; Mammalia; Artiodactyla; Camelidae
Also listed under: 2 other names
Rfam family: tRNA
About the family: Transfer RNA (tRNA) molecules are approximately 80 nucleotides in length. Their secondary structure includes four short double-helical elements and three loops (D, anti-codon, and T loops). Further hydrogen bonds mediate the characteristic L-shaped molecular structure. tRNAs have two regions of fundamental functional importance: the anti-codon, which is responsible for specific mRNA codon recognition, and the 3' end, to which the tRNAs corresponding amino acid is attached (by aminoacyl-tRNA synthetases). tRNAs cope with the degeneracy of the genetic code in two manners: having more than one tRNA (with a specific anti-codon) for a particular amino acid; and 'wobble' base-pairing, i.e. permitting non-standard base-pairing at the 3rd anti-codon position.
Source: Rfam by way of RNAcentral